AGUGAACGCUGGCGGUAGGCCUAACACAUGCAAGUCGAACGGCAGCACAGUAAGAGCUUGCUCUUACGGGUGGCGAGUGGCGGACGGGUGAGGAAUACAUCGGAAUCUACUUUUUCGUGGGGGAUAACGUAGGGAAACUUACGCUAAUACCGCAUACGACCUACGGGUGAAAGCAGUGGAUCUUCGGACCUUUCGCGAUUGAAUGAGCCGAUGUCGGAUUAGCUAGUUGGCGGGGUAAAGGCCCACCAAGGCGACGAUCCGUAGCUGGUCUGAGAGGAUGAUCAGCCACACUGGAACUGAGACACGGUCCAGACUCCUACGGGAGGCAGCAGUGGGGAAUAUUGGACAAUGGGCGCAAGCCUGAUCCAGCCAUACCGCGUGGGUGAAGAAGGCCUUCGGGUUGUAAAGCCCUUUUGUUGGGAAAGAAAAGCAGCAGGUUAAUACCCCGAUGUUCUGACGGUACCCAAAGAAUAAGCACCGGCUAACUUCGUG
This 492-nucleotide ribosomal RNA is filed under the name uncultured bacterium. Its description in RNAcentral is "partial 16S ribosomal RNA". It matches the Rfam family "Bacterial small subunit ribosomal RNA", at positions 29 to 507 of the family's 1533-position model. The record is from RNAcentral.